This is a long non-coding RNA of Dipodomys ordii (Ord's kangaroo rat), 605 nucleotides long. RefSeq lists it as uncharacterized. The record is from RefSeq and is a predicted model, not a curated record. Lineage: Eukaryota; Metazoa; Chordata; Mammalia; Rodentia; Heteromyidae. The transcript is spliced from 2 exons.
UAUUUUUGGAUCUAGCACCUGCUUACAAGGGGAAGUACUGGAGGGGGAGGAAGAGACAGAUUUAGAAACCCUCCUACCCCAGAAUAUCCACGCCUGCUCAGCCCAUGUGUGCAGCUUCAGCCCUGGCUUAAGGCCUCACCUCCCACCUUACAGCUGAGCCUCCCCGAGUGACCUCAUGCAACUAUCUUUGUCAGGUGUACAGGCUCAGAAUGAGAUCAACAAACAAAAAGCCCUGCUCCAUUCAGAUAAGAAAGUCUCCUCCAGCAGCAGCGACUACUACGAUAUUUAUUCAUACCAUUCCCACAGAUUUUACAAGAGAGACCUAAAUCGCUACCGCCAGGAGCGCUGGCCCUUUGAGCCAUGUCUCAUUGGGAAGCCCUGAAGUUUCUAGUCACCGCAUCCAUGUGGUCUCUGAGCUGCUCAGCUGCCAGUGUCUCCAUGAAGAAGACGACGGUGGGCAGGAGUAUUGAAGACUGAUUCGGAAACUCCCUGCAGGAGGAGAAGACGUCUGAGCCAUCACUGUCCACCUGCAGGAGACCCUCCAGCUCCUAACACAGCCAGGGCAAGGGAAGCUGUCUCCAAUUAAAGUCCUCAGUCCCAUCAGA